Molecule: ribosomal RNA, 292 nt
Filed under: uncultured bacterium
Lineage: Bacteria
Description: partial 16S ribosomal RNA
Rfam family: Bacterial small subunit ribosomal RNA
Source: RNAcentral
GUGCCAGCAGCCGCGGUAAUACGUAGGGUGCAAGCGUUACUCGGAAUUACUGGGCGUAAAGCGUGCGCAGGCGGUUAUGUAAGUCUGACGUGAAAUCCCCGGGCUUAACCUGGGAAUUGCGUUGGAGACUGCAAGGCUGGAAUCUGGCAGAGGGGGGUAGAAUUCCACGUGUAGCAGUGAAAUGCGUAGAGAUGUGGAGGAACACCGAUGGCGAAGGCAGCCCCCUGGGCUAAGAUUGACGCUCAUGCACGAAAGCGUGGGGAGCAAACAGGAUUAGAAACCCUGGUAGUCC